Non-coding RNA from Desmophyllum pertusum, 77 nucleotides. NCBI's taxonomy places the organism in Eukaryota, Metazoa, Cnidaria, Anthozoa, Scleractinia, Caryophylliidae. The record is from the annotation of a GenBank genome assembly.
UCUCCUGUAGCUCAGUGGCAGAGCGUCCGACUGGUGUGCGGAAGGCCAUAGCUUCGACUCAACUCCUGUUUGGAGAA